This 1412-nucleotide long non-coding RNA is filed under the name Phasianus colchicus (ring-necked pheasant). Its description in RNAcentral is "lncRNA (ENSPCLG00000003712.1)". The record is from RNAcentral. Lineage: Eukaryota; Metazoa; Chordata; Aves; Galliformes; Phasianidae.
GCCUCGCAGCAGCUGAUUGAAACCUUGGGAGAGGAGUGUAGCUGUUAGUAGGAGAGCAGUCCAGUCUCCUGUGCCUAGAAAUGGAGCUUUGGCAUUCGCACGUGCAGAUGCAGCUGGAUCUCUCUCACCUUUUUCACUAGAAGAACUGCUUUGGUAACUUGAUAUGCAUCUGACUCAACUGAACCUCAGCAGCAAAGGAGGAACCAGUGGUAAUCCAAAUUCACAGUGGCUCUGGGGAGCAAGCUAAGCUGUUGUAGUUUAUCCUCACUGCUUAGCUCAAUCGGUCCUGGUCCACAUGCACAGAGGAAGAAUUUGCUAUGCAGCUGCUGCCCUCUUUAUUUCAUUGCCAUAUCUACGAGGCUGGUGUCAGGAGUGUAGAGGAAAGCAGCAGGCUCAUUUACAAGCUAGGAAGCCAACUUGUAGCUAUUCAUAUUUGCUAUAGGCUCUCAAGGCCGAACUUCUACUUACUAAGAAUGUAAAAGAUUUGGGACUCUGAGCUACCUACUUGAAAAGCAACUUCCAGAAUUUAUCUGUAUACCCACAGUUUGAAGAAAUGAAACUAAACCUUUCUAAUGCUCUACAGUCAUGCCAUGAAAUAUCCCAAGUUAUGACUGUCCUGUAAGAUCCGUGCAAUGCAAAACAACUCUAAUCAUAAAAUUUUCCUCAAAUUUGUUUGGAUGACAAUAUAUAAUUAUAAUUGAAUUUUAAGCUAAAAAUGGAUUUAUAAUGUUCCUUAAAAUGAUAUCGUAAGUUACUAUUAGUUUAAGACCUUUCCUUUCAUGUGUAAUCGACAUCCAUACUCAGAUGCUCCGAGGCACACAGCAAGAACAACGCUGGUAUUUAAGCACUGAGAUGUCACAAUGGAUGCACUACCAGACACUGCAUCGAGAGGGAGAAAAGAACAUGUUUUUCAACUUCAACUCCAUCCUUUUAAUAAGGAGAGUUCACCCAGUGCCUCAGAGGGAACAUUCUGCAUGCAGAAACCUGCCUGAGCAGAGCACUGCUAAGGUACCCCUCAAAAAUGGGAAGCACUGCAUCAUCCCAGCACCCCAGAACACAAGAUGGAAAAAUGCAGAAGGCAAGAGUGGCGAAGGGUAACCUGGCUGCUGCCAGCAGAAUUGUACUUGAGGUGGAUCUAGAGAGAUUUGGGCAUCUACAGACCCCACAGGAGUCCUUCCAGAAGUCUUGAUGUUAACAGGUGUUAACCAAGCUCAGACUUGAACGUAUGAUAUUAAAGGUGAGAAGCAGUUUAAUCCCCAGUCCAGACGUACAUCUCCUGAAAGAAAUGGCUGAUGUUAGCCUUUCAGGUUGGAUAUUAGGAACAUUAUCUUCUCAGAAGGAGUGGUAAUGCACUGGAACCGGCUGCCCAGGGAGCUGAAGGAGUCACUGUCCUUAGAGGUUUUCAAGUAAAG